Molecule: ribosomal RNA, 253 nt
Filed under: uncultured bacterium
Lineage: Bacteria
Description: partial 16S ribosomal RNA
Rfam family: Bacterial small subunit ribosomal RNA
Source: RNAcentral
UACGGAGGGUGCAAGCGUUAAUCGGAAUUACUGGGCGUAAAGCGUGCGCAGGCGGUUUGUUAAGUCCGUUGUGAAAGCCCCGAGCUCAACUUGGGAAUUGCAGUGGAUACUGGCAGGCUGGAGUACGGUAGAGGAAGGUGGAAUUCCCGGUGUAGCAGUGAAAUGCGUAGAUAUCAGGAGGAACACCAGUGGCGAAGGCGGCCUUCUGGACCAGUACUGACGCUCAUGCACGAAAGCGUGGGGAGCAAACAGG